GACACUGUGUGUUGUUGGGUAGGGGAGCGUUCUGUAAGCCUGUGAAGGUGUGUCGUGAGGCAUGCUGGAGGUAUCAGAAGUGCGAAUGCUGACAUAAGUAACGAUAAAGCGGGUGAAAAGCCCGCUCGCCGGAAGACCAAGGGUUCCUGUCCAACGUUAAUCGGGGCAGGGUGAGUCGACCCCUAAGGCGAGGCCGAAAGGCGUAGUCGAUGGGAAACGGGUUAAUAUUCCCGUACUUGGUGUUACUGCGAAGGGGGGACGGAGAAGGCUAUGUUGGCCGGGCGACGGUUGUCCCGGUUUAAGCGUGUAGGUGUGUGUUCCAGGUAAAUCCGGUUCACUUUAACACUGAGGCGUGACGACGAGGCACUACGGUGCUGAAGCAACAAAUGCCCUGCUUCCAGGAAAAGCCUCUAAGCAUCAGGUAACAUCAAAUCGUACCCCAAACCGACACAGGUGGUCAGGUAGAGAAUACCAAGGCGCUUGAGAGAACUCGGGUGAAGGAACUAGGCAAAAUGGUGCCGUAACUUCGGGAGAAGGCACGCUGACACGUAGGUGAAGUGAUUUACUCAUGGAGCUGAAGUCAGUCGAAGAUACCAGCUGGCUGCAACUGUUUAUUAAAAACACAGCACUGUGCAAACACGAAAGUGGACGUAUACGGUGUGACGCCUGCCCGGUGCCGGAAGGUUAAUUGAUGGGGUCAGCGCAAGCGAAGCUCCUGAUCGAAGCCCCGGUAAACGGCGGCCGUAACUAUAACGGUCCUAAGGUAGCGAAAUUCCUUGUCGGGUAAGUUCCGACCUGCACGAAUGGCGUAAUGAUGGCCAGGCUGUCUCCACCCGAGACUCAGUGAAAUUGAACUCGCUGUGAAGAUGCAGUGUACCCGCGGCAAGACGGAAAGACCCCGUGAACCUUUACUAUAGCUUGACACUGAACAUUGAGCCUUGAUGUGUAGGAUAGGUGGGAGGCUUUGAAGUGUGGACGCCAGUCUGCAUGGAGCCGACCUUGAAAUACCACCCUUUAAUGUUUGAUGUUCUAACGUGGACCCGUUACCCGGGUUGCGGACAGUGUCUGGUGGGUAGUUUGACUGGGGCGGUCUCCUCCUAAAGAGUAACGGAGGAGCACGAAGGUUGGCUAAUCCUGGUCGGACAUCAGGAGGUUAGUGCAAUGGCAUAAGCCAGCUUGACUGCGAGCGUGACGGCGCGAGCAGGUGCGAAAGCAGGUCAUAGUGAUCCGGUGGUUCUGAAUGGAAGGGCCAUCGCUCAACGGAUAAAAGGUACUCCGGGGAUAACAGGCUGAUACCGCCCAAGAGUUCAUAUCGACGGCGGUGUUUGGCACCUCGAUGUCGGCUCAUCACAUCCUGGGGCUGAAGUAGGUCCCAAGGGUAUGGCUGUUCGCCAUUUAAAGUGGUACGCGAGCUGGGUUUAGAACGUCGUGAGACAGUUCGGUCCCUAUCUGCCGUGGGCGCUGGAGAACUGAGGGGGGCUGCUCCUAGUACGAGAGGACCGGAGUGGACGCAUCACUGGUGUUCGGGUUGUCAUGCCAAUGGCACUGCCCGGUAGCUAAAUGCGGAAGAGAUAAGUGCUGAAAGCAUCUAAGCACGAAACUUGCCCCGAGAUGAGUUCUCCCUGAGACUUAGAGUCUCCUGAAGGAACGUUGAAGACGACGACGUUGAUAGGCCGGGUGUGUAAGCGCAGCGAUGCGUUGAGCUAACCGGUACUAAUGAACCGUGAGGCUUAACCUU
RNAcentral lists this ribosomal RNA (1738 nucleotides) under Salmonella enterica subsp. enterica serovar Enteritidis str. 50-3079. RNAcentral describes it as "bacterial LSU rRNA". It matches the Rfam family "Bacterial large subunit ribosomal RNA", at positions 1210 to 2925 of the family's 2925-position model. Lineage: Bacteria; Pseudomonadati; Pseudomonadota; Gammaproteobacteria; Enterobacterales; Enterobacteriaceae. The record is from RNAcentral.